UCACAAUUCAAACAGUUCUAUCAUUGAACGAAGUAUUAGAAGUUAGCAGUUUGUCUUCAAGUACCUGAUUAUAAGUCUUCAAGAUGUCUCCACCAAUGUUAGAUCUUCAAACUAAAGACAAUAACCAAGAUGUAAAGGUGGUUUUCCCUUCAGCAAAUGUUAUGCAACAACCAACAGUGAAGAAAAACAACAAAAAAUAUUGUUUAAUUGCUGCAUCAGUGAUCAGCGCUGCUGUGGUUAUAACUCUUGGUGCUAUCGGUUCUGUGGCACUUUACCAACAUAUGAACAAACCAGAGGAAUAUAAUACUGAAACGCUUUAUAAUGGACAACAUAUUCCUGAACAUGCCCGUGUGGAUUAUGUAAAUAGAAUAACUUAUGUUAAUAAUUCACAGUAUGGUGAAGUGUUGGCUGGCAACAAUUUACAUGAUUAUAAUAGAAAAUUGUUAGUAUUUAAAGAUGUUGCUAAUAAAGUUUGUUAUAUUGAUAAAUUAGAGGGAACAUUUGAAGAAGGUAUAGCUCUACUUGCUCAAAAGACACGAAGCACUCCAACACCAAUCAAACGAGUACAUACCAGUAAUGAAUCCAUCGAUGGAGAUAUUUUAAGAAAAUUUGCUGGAGAUAAUAUUGCUGACCAUUGUAAAGACAUUCCAACAUUUUGGGUUAUUGAUGAAAUCGUUGGAGUUGACGGGGAGUCAAGUAAAGAGAUGACAGUAGAUUGUACUAACGAUGCUUCUAAUCCUCUCUGUAGAAACAAGAGAGCCCUGGCCCGAGCAGUAAUGGCUUGUCACAGAAUUGUAAUUAAAAUUAAAAUCGUCAUCAGAUUUUAAAAUCAGAUAUAAACCCACGUUUAGCCUGCUGAACUUACCCAGGUUUAUGUCAUAAUAAUACAUAGAACUUAUUUGGUGAUGUGGAAAUGUUUUCGAAUCGAUAGUUGUAUAUUUCGGAUCGGUAAUGAUACGUCGUUUGUAUGUUUCGCUAAAUAUCAAAUUUCUCACGUCUUAAUUCAAAAUCAAAAUAACAACGAUCGAUAACUCUCCAGCUUGGAUUCUGUCUGAUUUAAAACAGGCCUAUCGAUUCUGUUCGCCCAUAACAAAAUGGGAGCGGACAUAGCGUACAACACCGAUUGAUGAAAUUUCAAUAUAUUCAAUAUAUUAUCUUUGUAAAUACUCAUUGGAAUUGAACCAGUUUUAGUAGAGAUUUGUCUUUUAUGGUAUGGGUGUAUAGAAUACAGACGACAUUAAUCCAGAUGAUAUUUGUUCUUAGUAGCUAACAUUCAUACAUGUUGGAGCCAUUAUACUAUCUCUAACGUCACAAUCGGAAUACAGUCACUAAUAAUAAAUGUAGUUAUCUCCCUUAGAUCAUUAUUAUAAUAACAAUACAUCAAGACAAUACGUCUUUCACAAGGGAUUCGUGUGACCAUGGACCUUGUAUUAUAAGGUCCAUGGUGUGACGCAAUGAGAUUUUAAGUGUAUAUUAUAUUUUUGAUA
This is a long non-coding RNA of Patella vulgata (common limpet), 1487 nucleotides long. RefSeq lists it as uncharacterized. The transcript is spliced from 6 exons. The record is from RefSeq and is a predicted model, not a curated record. Lineage: Eukaryota; Metazoa; Mollusca; Gastropoda; Patellidae.